GCCCGGCUGGCUCAGUUGGUAGAGUAUGUGACUCUUGAUCUCAGGUUGUAAGUUCAAGCCACACGUUGGGUG
RNAcentral lists this transfer RNA (72 nucleotides) under Canis lupus familiaris (dog). It matches the Rfam family "tRNA". From Rfam's summary of the family: Transfer RNA (tRNA) molecules are approximately 80 nucleotides in length. The record is from Rfam by way of RNAcentral. Lineage: Eukaryota; Metazoa; Chordata; Mammalia; Carnivora; Canidae.